Long non-coding RNA from Osmerus eperlanus (European smelt), 842 nucleotides. RefSeq lists it as uncharacterized. The record is from RefSeq and is a predicted model, not a curated record. The transcript has 3 exons. Lineage: Eukaryota; Metazoa; Chordata; Actinopteri; Osmeriformes; Osmeridae.
UGCUGGCGUCAUCGUCCUUCUGGAAGCCCUCGUUGGUGUACUGCACCCCCUCCUUGGCCCCGCCGGAGCCCGCUCCCAGCUGCAUGAGGGGACAAACAUGAUGAUGAGGAUCAUCGAGAAGGAGGCCAGACUGAAGAUAUUCACAGAGCUGCGGAAGAUGCUGGCUUCAGACAGUUUCCUCCAGGCUGCUUUUCCCUUCUGGAGGUGAAGAACGAGGAGUCCAAUGACCACCAUGCAGAUGACCAGGAGGACGGCGAGACUGACCCCCAGCGCCACCAUGUCCACCACACUGUACCCAUCUCCCCCCGGCCCCAGGACACCCUCUGUGGGGGUCAAAGAGUCUCCAUCAAUGGCAUACACUGGUCCAGGUUGUAAGGACAACGCACCAACCUGCAACAUACCCCAGACAAACAUUCAAUCAACAUACAGAGAUUCCAGACUCAGUAAAUACUUCCCUGUGGGCUGCAGCAGUUUCAAGCACUUUAGUUUUGGCGAAACAUUUCUCCAGAUGUCUGGAGGUCUUGCAGAGACAAGCUGCUGCUGGAUGUGUGAGUGUACGCAAGCGGUUCAGUGUUCCCUUGAAAGAGGGCUCAGGUCGACCCUGUCGCUCACUGGGUAGGGCGUGUAGGCGCCUACCAUACGGGCUGAGGGCUGCACGCAGCGGUUCGAUUCCGGCUUGGGUCAUUACUGCAUAUCUUCCCCUCUCUCCCCCUCUUGUCUACAUCUAACUGUCUCGCUCCAAAAAAGCCAUAAAAGGCCAAAAAUAUAUCUAAAAAGAGAGAGAGAUAAACACAGAGGGCCUCCCCGGGCCUUGCUUGCCCACCUCCUGGACGGUGAGGUUG